ACAUGACAACCAGACUGUCAUCCGAGUCGAGCGAACAGAGGGGAGCUUGCUCCCGGAUGUUAGCGGCGGACGGAAAGAGGAACACGUGGGUAACCUGCCUGUAAGACUGGGAUAACUCCGGGAAACCGGAGCUAAUACCGGAUAGUUCCUUGAACCGCAUGGUUCAAGGAUGAAAGACGGUUUCGGCUGUCACUUACAGAUGGACCCGCGGCGCAUUAGCUAGUUGGUGGGGUAAUGGCUCACCAAGGCGACGAUGCGUAGCCGACCUGAGAGGGUGAUCGGCCACACUGGGACUGAGACACGGCCCAGACUCCUACGGGAGGCAGCAGUAGGGAAUCUUCCGCAAUGGACGAAAGUCUGACGGAGCAACGCCGCGUGAGUGAUGAAGGUUUUCGGAUCGUAAAGCUCUGUUGUUAGGGAAGAACAAGUGCGAGAGUAACUGCUCGCACCUUGACGGUACCUAACCAGAAAGCCACGGCUAACUACGUGCCAGCAGCCGCGGUAAUACGUAGGUGGCAAGCGUUGUCCGGAAUUAUUGGGCGUAAAGGGCUCGCAGGCGGUUUCUUAAGUCUGAUGUGAAAGCCCCCGGCUCAACCGGGG
RNAcentral lists this ribosomal RNA (600 nucleotides) under Bacillus safensis. Its description in RNAcentral is "bacterial SSU rRNA". It matches the Rfam family "Bacterial small subunit ribosomal RNA", at positions 42 to 618 of the family's 1533-position model. The record is from RNAcentral. Lineage: Bacteria; Bacillati; Bacillota; Bacilli; Caryophanales; Bacillaceae.